AGAAUCAACGCUGGCGGCGUGCCUAACACAUGCAAGUCGAACGAGAAAGUGGAGCAAUCCAUGAGUAAAGUGGCGCACGGGUGAGUAACACGUGACUAACCUACCCUUGAGUGGGGGAUAACCUAGGGAAACCUGGGCUAAUACCGCAUAAUACCUUCGGGUCAAAGGAGCAAUUCGCUUAAGGAGGGGGUCGCGGCCGAUUAGUUAGUUGGCGGGGUAAUGGCCCACCAAGACUGUGAUCGGUAUCCGGCCUGAGAGGGCGCACGGACACACUGGAACUGAAACACGGUCCAGACUCCUACGGGAGGCAGCAGUGGGGAAUUUGCGCAAUGGGGGAAACCCUGACGCAGCAACGCCGCGUGGAGGAUGAAGCCCCUUGGGGCGUAAACUCCUUUCGAUCGGGACGAUAAUGACGGUACCGGAAGAAGAAGCCCCGGCUAACUCGUGCCAGCAGCCGC
This 458-nucleotide ribosomal RNA is filed under the name uncultured bacterium. Its description in RNAcentral is "SSU rRNA". It matches the Rfam family "Bacterial small subunit ribosomal RNA", at positions 26 to 518 of the family's 1533-position model. The record is from RNAcentral.